Molecule: long non-coding RNA, 406 nt
Filed under: Homo sapiens (human)
Lineage: Eukaryota; Metazoa; Chordata; Mammalia; Primates; Hominidae
Description: HSALNT0329021
Source: RNAcentral
AAAUAACUCAUGCACUAAAGGAGUCAGAGUUCUGGAGGCUGGAAGUCCAAGAUCAAGGUGCUAUCAGGGUUGGUUUCGGCUGUGGCCUCUCUUCCUGGCUUGUAGACAGCUAUCUUCUCGCAGUGUCCUCACGUGGCCUCUUUGUGUGAAGGAAGCUGCUAAAGAAUGUGCUUGACUAAAACAAGGCAAUAAGCAAAAGGAAGUCAUAGCAUCCAGAAAAUGGGAUCCAUCAUGCGCACAAAGAAAAGGUGAAGAAAAUUUCCAGGAUGUUCAGAACCCACCAAAAACGAAAGAUUCUGGUCCAGAUCAGAAGAGAGGGAAACACUCUGAAAAAGUCCCUCAAAUACAAAAUUAAACAGAGUUUAAAUGAUGUGCUUGACCACAAUAAAAGGCUUCUUGCUCUGUA